UACGUAGGUGGCGAGCGUUGUCCGGAUUUACUGGGCGUAAAGGGAGCGUAGGCGGACUUUUAAGUGAGAUGUGAAAUACUCGGGCUCAACUUGAGUGCUGCAUUUCAAACUGGAAGUCUAGAGUGCAGGAGAGAAGAAUGGAAUUCCUAGUGUAGCGGUGAAAUGCGUAGAGAUUAGGAAGAACACCAGUGGCGAAGGCGAUUCUCUGGACUGUAACUGACGCUGAGGCUCGAAAGCGUGGGGAGCAAACAGG
This 253-nucleotide ribosomal RNA is filed under the name uncultured bacterium. Its description in RNAcentral is "partial 16S ribosomal RNA". It matches the Rfam family "Bacterial small subunit ribosomal RNA", at positions 524 to 776 of the family's 1533-position model. The record is from RNAcentral.